CGUGUUGAGUGUGUAGUGCUCCAUACAUUGUACUUUACUGUGUGUAGUGCUACAUACAUUGUACUGUACUGUGUGUGUAGUGCUCCUUGCAGUGAAUCGUCCAGUGGUAUAAGCUCAUUCUUAAGUCAGUUGUUGCUGUUACCUUUAUACAAAAUGAUUCUGUUUGCUGUUUAAAAAAAUUGAAAUAAUAAAUAAUAAUAAAAAAGAAAUUUAUAAAAUAAAAUCGCAAUAUUUUUUUUUUAAACCAGUGU
Biomphalaria pfeifferi is the source of this 251-nucleotide non-coding RNA. The record is from the annotation of a GenBank genome assembly. Lineage: Eukaryota; Metazoa; Mollusca; Gastropoda; Planorbidae.